CAGCCGCCGCGGUAAUACAGAGGGUGCGAGCGUUAAUCGGAUUUACUGGGCGUAAAGCGUGCGUAGGCGGCUUCUUAAGUCGGAUGUGAAAUCCCUGAGCUUAACCUAGGAAUUGCAUUCGAUACUGGGAAGCUAGAGUAUGGGAGAGGAUGGUAGAAUUCCAGGUGUAGCGGUGAAAUGCGUAGAGAUCUGGAGGAAUACCGAUGGCGAAGGCAGCCAUCUGGCCUAAUACUGACGCUGAGGUACGAAAGCAUGGGGAGCAAACAGGAUUAGAUACCCCUGUAGUCCCUGUCUCUUAUAC
RNAcentral lists this ribosomal RNA (301 nucleotides) under uncultured bacterium. Its description in RNAcentral is "partial 16S ribosomal RNA". It matches the Rfam family "Bacterial small subunit ribosomal RNA", at positions 509 to 807 of the family's 1533-position model. The record is from RNAcentral.